Molecule: ribosomal RNA, 519 nt
Filed under: Triticum aestivum (bread wheat)
Lineage: Eukaryota; Viridiplantae; Streptophyta; Magnoliopsida; Poales; Poaceae
Description: partial small subunit ribosomal RNA
Source: RNAcentral
AUGGCUGGUAGAAUCAAUAUCUUUGCCCCAAGCUUGUCCCCCAAUACCUCUAGAUUUUGGAAAGGCAUUAAAACAACCAUCCAGGCACUAAAGUUUUGCUAUAGAUGGAAAAUUGGUUCAGGCACUAAAGUCAGAUUCUGGGAGUAUACCUGGUUUGGCACCUCCCCUCUGGCUGUCCAGUUCUGGCCUAUUUACUCCAUUUGCAAUCAACAAACUAAGAGUGUUAGUGAGGUUUGGGAUGGGCUUCAGCUCAAGAUGACUUUUAGGAGGAAUUUUGAUGAAAUACUUAUGGAGCAAUAUCAUCAGUUGGUUGAGGUUGCUGGGAGUGUGGUUCUCACCGAUGAUACAGAUGCUUUAAUCUGGCAACUUGAUAAUAAAGGAAUUUAUUCCACUAGCUCCCUCUAUCAUAUAAUCAACUUUAGGGGGGUGCAACCUAUUUAUAUUCCAUCUGUUUGGAAGCUUAGAACCCCCCCCCUAAGAUUCAUGUUUUUCUCUGGCUCUUCUCUAAUAAUAAGCUGA